CAUGAGCUUCUCAAGCCUUAUNUUUCCAAGUCCUACCAUCNUAANCGUAANCCNGCACACGAUUGCCGAACAGGUGAAUAAUACAUCGGAACUUGCCCUAUCUUGGGGGAUAACGAGGCGAAUCUUUCCUAAUACCGCAUACGAUCUACUGC
RNAcentral lists this ribosomal RNA (152 nucleotides) under bacterium HPC762. Its description in RNAcentral is "partial 16S ribosomal RNA". The record is from RNAcentral.